CCAAAGGCUCUUUUCAGAGCCACCAACAGUUUCAGUUGAAAGCGCG
Molecule: non-coding RNA, 46 nt
Organism: Papio anubis (olive baboon)
Lineage: Eukaryota; Metazoa; Chordata; Mammalia; Primates; Cercopithecidae
Source: Rfam